CCGACCAAGAACCAAAAUUUCCCAUGAUGGAGCUCUCUGCGCCGCCUCCUCGCGGCCACCCUUUACUCGCUGGCCUCCGCCGUCCCCCGUCCAUCCCUGCCUCCCCUCUUCUCCUCCCCCACCUCUCCUCUUGCCCCAUCACUAACCGAUCACUAUUCGCUUCGCACUCCGCCAAAUCCCUUUCCUUGGUUUCUGAUGCAGGAUGGGGUCGUCCCCGUGAUCGACCGCCGCGGGCCAGGGCCUCGGACGAGGAUGCCUCCAUGGUUGUUGUACACGAUGAUGCUGGGUCGAAACGGGUCGAUGGGCCUUCCUUUCUCAUGAGGUCGUCGUACGGGGAGGGAGACAACCCCGAUGGCGGAGAGCAGAUUGCUGAGGCAGCGAAUAAUCUUUUGUCUAAGCUUAAUCUUAAGGUGCUUAUGAUCCUGCCCUUUUUCAUUUUUUGUUCCAUGUUCGGUAACAGGAAUUUGAUCCACCAUGGCUUUGGCGGAAGUUAGCUUUAGGUAUACGUUAAUUAUAGUUCUUGUUUAAUUCUGGUAUAAAGGAAGUACGGAAGCUGUUACUAAAGCAUG
Molecule: long non-coding RNA, 569 nt
Filed under: Musa acuminata (dwarf banana)
Lineage: Eukaryota; Viridiplantae; Streptophyta; Magnoliopsida; Zingiberales; Musaceae
Description: long non-coding RNA (MACU_LNC002750)
Source: RNAcentral